This 99-nucleotide signal recognition particle RNA is filed under the name Nicoletella semolina. Its description in RNAcentral is "Bacterial small signal recognition particle RNA". It matches the Rfam family "Bacterial small signal recognition particle RNA". Rfam says of the family: The signal recognition particle (SRP) is a universally conserved ribonucleoprotein involved in the co-translational targeting of proteins to membranes. Archaeal SRP consists of a 7S RNA and homologues of the eukaryotic SRP19 and SRP54 proteins. In most bacteria, the SRP consists of a 4.5S RNA and the Ffh protein (a homologue of the eukaryotic SRP54 protein). Lineage: Bacteria; Pseudomonadati; Pseudomonadota; Gammaproteobacteria; Pasteurellales; Pasteurellaceae. The record is from Rfam by way of RNAcentral.
UUUUCGGUCGCUUGCAAUAACGUUCGGUUUACUCGGUCAGGUUCGGAAGAAAGCAGCCAAAGUCGAAAUGUUUAUGUGCCGAGACUUAGCUGGAGGUGC